This is a ribosomal RNA of 1734 nucleotides. It matches the Rfam family "Bacterial large subunit ribosomal RNA", at positions 1012 to 2770 of the family's 2925-position model.
CGAGAGGGAAACAGCCCAGAUCACCAUUUAAGGCCCCUAAAUAAUUACUAAGUGGUAAAGGAGGUAAUCGUACAUAGACAACCAGGAGGUUUGCCUAGAAGCAGCCACCCUUUAAAAAUUGCGUAAUAGCUUACUGGUCAAGUGCUUUUGCGCCGAAAAUGAACGGGACUAAGUAAUUUGCCGAAAAUGUGAGAUAAUAUCGGUAGAAGAGCGUUCUGUUUUAGUUUGAAGCAAUAGUGAAAACAGUUGUGGACUAUUCAGAAGUGAGAAUGUCGGCUUAAGUAACGAAAACAUUGGUGGAAAUCCAAUGCCCCGAAAACCUAAGGAUUCCUUCGCAAGGUUCGUCCACGAAGGGUUAGUCAGGACCUAAAAUGAGGUUUAACAACGUAAUUGAUGGAUAACGGGUUAAUAUUCCCGUACUACAUUUUAUAUGAUUAAGAGUGACGAAGAAGGCUAUAUCAUCCAAGUUUUGGUUUUUGGUUUAAUCUUUCAAGGUUUUGAGAAAUGCUAAAAAAAGUAUUUUGAGCUGAGAAGAGAAUACGAGAUAUACUACGGUAUUGAAAGUGAUAAAUGCCAUGCUUCCUAGAAAAACUUUUUUAAUUUCUGUAAUUUGUACCUGUACCUUAAACUGACACAGGUAGGUUGGUAGAGAAUACCAAGGGGCGCGAGAUAACUCUUUCUAAGGAACUCGGCAAAAUGACUCUGUAACUUCGGGAGAAAGAGUGCCACAAUUUUGUGGUCGCAGUUAACAGACCCAAGCGACUGUUUACCAAAAACACAGGUCUCCGCUAAGUUGUAAAACUAUGUAUGGGGGCUGACGCCUGCCCAGUGCCGGAAGGUUAAAGAAAUUGGUUAGCUCACGCGAAGCUAGUGACUGAAGCCCUGGUGAACGGCGGCCGUAACUAUAACGGUCCUAAGGUAGCGAAAUUCCUUGUCGGGUAAGUUCCGACCCGCACGAAAGGCGUAACGAUUUGGGUACUGUCUCAGAAAGAGACUCGGUGAAAUAGAAUUGACUGUGAAGAUGCGGUCUACUUGCACUUGGACAGAAAGACCCUAUGAAGCUUUACUGUAACUUGAAAUUGGUUUCGGGCUUUUCUUGCGCAGUAUAGGUGGGAGGCUGUGAUCCUCUUUUUCGGAAGUUGGUGAGCCGUAAUGUGAGAUACCACUCUAGAAAAGUUAGAAAUCUAAUGGCAUUUUUUAAGCAAGAUGUUUGACACUUUCAGGCGGGCAGUUUUACUGGGGCGGUAGCCUCCUAAAAAGUAACGGAGGCGUACAAAGGUUUUCUCAGGCUGGACGGAAAUUAGUUGUAGAGUGUAAAGAUAUAAGAAAGCUUGACUGUGAGACCUACAAGUCGAACAGAGACUAAAGUCGGUCUUAGUGAUCCGACGAUUCUGUAUGGAAAGGUCGUCGCUCAACGGAUAAAAGUUACUCUAGGGAUAACAGGCUGAUCUCCCCCAAGAGUUCACAUCGACGGGGAGGUUUGGCACCUCGAUGUCGGCUCAUCGCAACCUGGGGCGGAAGUACGUUCCAAGGGUUGGGCUGUUCGCCCAUUAAAGCGGUACGUGAGCUGGGUUCAGAACGUCGAGAGACAGUUCGGUCCAUAUCCGGUGUGAGUGUUAGAGUAUUGAAAGGAGCUUUCCUUAGUACGAGAGGACCGGGAAGGACGCACCACUGAUGUACCAGUUUUUGUACCAACAGAAUACGCUGGGUAGUCACGUGUGGAGUGGAUAACUG